UUGCUUUGGCAGUGUCUCUAUUAAAAUUGGAAUGAUACAGAGAUUAGCCUGGUCCCUGCACAAGAAUGACAUGUACAUCUGAGAAAUUUUCCAUGUUUCC
RNAcentral lists this small nuclear RNA (100 nucleotides) under Echinops telfairi (small Madagascar hedgehog). Lineage: Eukaryota; Metazoa; Chordata; Mammalia; Afrosoricida; Tenrecidae. The record is from RNAcentral.